This 125-nucleotide small RNA is filed under the name Marmota monax (woodchuck). The record is from RNAcentral. Lineage: Eukaryota; Metazoa; Chordata; Mammalia; Rodentia; Sciuridae.
GUUGGGCAUGGUGGCACAUGCCUGUAAUUCCAGCAGCUUGGGAGGCUGAGGCUGGAGGAUUGUGAGUUCAAAGACAGACUCAGCAACAUCGAGGUGUUAAGCAACUCAGUGAGACCUUGCCUCUA